UCCUGGCUCAGGACGAACGCUGGCGGCGUGCUUAACACAUGCAAGUCGAACGAUGAAGCCCUUCGGGGUGGAUUAGUGGCGAACGGGUGAGUAACACGUGGGCAAUCUGCCCUUCACUCUGGGACAAGCCCUGGAAACGGGGUCUAAUACCGGAUAACACCGGCCUCUGCAUGGAGGCUGGUUGAAAGCUCCGGCGGUGAAGGAUGAGCCCGCGGCCUAUCAGCUUGUUGGUGGGGUAAUGGCCUACCAAGGCGACGACGGGUAGCCGGCCUGAGAGGGCGACCGGCCACACUGGGACUGAGACACGGCCCAGACUCCUACGGGAGGCAGCAGUGGGGAAUAUUGCACAAUGGGCGAAAGCCUGAUGCAGCGACGCCGCGUGAGGGAUGACGGCCUUCGGGUUGUAAACCUCUUUCAGCAGGGAAGAAGCGAAAGUGACGGUACCUGCAGAAGAAGCGCCGGCUAACUACGUGCCAGCAGCCGCGGUAAUACGUAGGGCGCAAGCGUUGUCCGGAAUUAUUGGGCGUAAAGAGCUCGUAGGCGGCUUGUCACGUCGGGUGUGAAAGCCCGGGGCUUAACCCCGGGUCUGCAUCCGAUACGGGCAGGCUAGAGUGUGGUAGGGGAGAUCGGAAUUCCUGGUGUAGCGGUGAAAUGCGCAGAUAUCAGGAGGAACACCGGUG
This 680-nucleotide ribosomal RNA is filed under the name Serratia sp. RJAL6. Its description in RNAcentral is "bacterial SSU rRNA". It matches the Rfam family "Bacterial small subunit ribosomal RNA", at positions 17 to 714 of the family's 1533-position model. Lineage: Bacteria; Pseudomonadati; Pseudomonadota; Gammaproteobacteria; Enterobacterales; Yersiniaceae. The record is from RNAcentral.